GUGGAUUAGAUACCCUGGUAGUCCACACCGUAAACGAUGAAUGCUAGGUGUGGGGGCGUAAGCCUCCGUGCCGCAGCUAACGCAAUAAGCAUUCCACCUGGGGAGUACGGCCGCAAGGUUGAAACUCAAAGGAAUUGACGGGAGCCCGCACAAGCAGUGGAGUAUGUGGUUUAAUUCGACGCAACGCGAAGAACCUUACCAGGACUUGACAUCCCGAGAACCCGGCGUAAUGGCUGGGGUGCCCUUCGGGGAAUUCGGUGACAGGUGGUGCAUGGCUGUCGUCAGCU
This 287-nucleotide ribosomal RNA is filed under the name uncultured bacterium. RNAcentral's name for it is "partial 16S ribosomal RNA". It matches the Rfam family "Bacterial small subunit ribosomal RNA", at positions 773 to 1060 of the family's 1533-position model. The record is from RNAcentral.